Molecule: ribosomal RNA, 443 nt
Filed under: uncultured bacterium
Lineage: Bacteria
Description: partial 16S ribosomal RNA
Rfam family: Bacterial small subunit ribosomal RNA
Source: RNAcentral
CCUACGGGCGGCAGCAGUGGGGAAUAUUGGGCAAUGGAGGAAACUCUGACCCAGCAACGCCGCGGGAAUGAUGAAGGUCUUCGGAGGGGAAAGUUCGUGUAUAAGGGAAGAAGAAAGUGACGGUACCUUAGUAAUAAGCCUCGGCUCACGACGGGCCAGCAGCCGCGGUACUACGGAGGAGGCGAGCGUUAGCAGGAAUUACUGGGCUUAAAGGGUGCGUAGGUGGUUUGGCAAGUUAGUAGCGUAACUCCAAGGCUCAACCUUGGAACUCCUACUCAAACGGUUGGACUUGAGUGCAUGAGUGGCAACCGGAAUUCCUAGUGUAGCGGUGGAAUGCGUAGAUAUUAGGAGGAACACCAGUGGCGAAGGCGGGUUGCUAGACUGUAACUGACACUGAGGCACGAACGCGUGGGGAGCACACAGGAUUAGCUACCCGUGUAGUC